CACCACAGGGAUUGCCUCAGUAGCGGCGAGUGAAGCGGCAAGAGCUCAGAUUUGAAAUCGUGCUUUGCGGCACGAGUUGUAGAUUGCAGGUUGGAGUCUGUGUGGAAGGCGGUGUCCAAGUCCCUUGGAACAGGGCGCCCAGGAGGGUGAGAGCCCCGUGGGAUGCCGGCGGAAGCAGUGAGGCCCUUCUGACGAGUCGAGUUGUUUGGGAAUGCAGCUCCAAGCGGGUGGUAAAUUCCAUCUAAGGCUAAAUACUGGCGAGAGACCGAUAGCGAACAAGUACUGUGAAGGAAAGAUGAAAAGCACUUUGAAAAGAGAGUGAAACAGCACGUGAAAUUGUUGAAAGGGAAGGGUAUUGCGCCCGACAUGGGGAUUGCGCACCGCUGCCUCUCGUGGGCGGCGCUCUGGGCUUUCCCUGGGCCAGCAUCGGUUCUUGCUGCGGAGAAGGGGUUCUGGAACGUGGCUCUUCGGAGUGUUAUAGCCAGGGCCAGAUGCUGCGUGCGGGGACCGAGGACUGCGGCCGUGUGGUCACGGAUGCUGGCAGAACGGCGCAACACCGUCCAGUCUGGAAACACGGACCAU
This 582-nucleotide ribosomal RNA is filed under the name Pichia kudriavzevii. RNAcentral describes it as "eukaryotic LSU rRNA". It matches the Rfam family "Eukaryotic large subunit ribosomal RNA", at positions 63 to 669 of the family's 3401-position model. Lineage: Eukaryota; Fungi; Ascomycota; Pichiomycetes; Pichiales; Pichiaceae. The record is from RNAcentral.